GCAUAUCAAUAAGCGGAGGAAAAGAAACCAACUGGGAUUGCCUCAGUAACGGCGAGUGAAGCGGCAGAAGCUCAAAUUUGAAAUCUGGCCCCUCUGGGGGUCCGAGUUGUAAUUUGCAGAGGACACUUCGGGUGCGGCCGCGGUCUAAGUCCCCUGGAACGGGGCGUCAGAGAGGGUGAGAAUCCCGUCUUGGGCCGUGGGCUUGCCCCGUGUGAAGUUCCUUCGACGAGUCGAGUUGUUUGGGAAUGCAGCUCUAAGUGGGUGGUAAAUUUCAUCUAAGGCUAAAUACUGGCGGGAGACCGAUAGCGCACAAGUAGAGUGAUCGAAAGGUUAAAAGCACCUUGAAAAGGGAGUUAAACAGCACGUGAAAUUGUUGAAAGGGAAGCGCUGGCAGCCAGACACGGACCCGGGGGCUCAGCGGGCAUGCGUGCCCGUGCACUCCCCCGCGGUCCGGGCCAGCAUCGGUUUCGGCGGCCGGUCAAAGGCCCCGGGAAGGUAUCGUCCUCCGGGACGACUUACAGCCCGGGGCGCAAUGCGGCCAGCCGGGACCGAGGAACGCGCUCCGGCACGGAUGCUGGCGUAAUGGCUGUCAGCGGCCCGUCUUGAAACACGGACC
This 616-nucleotide ribosomal RNA is filed under the name Nannizziopsis arthrosporioides. Its description in RNAcentral is "eukaryotic LSU rRNA". It matches the Rfam family "Eukaryotic large subunit ribosomal RNA", at positions 38 to 667 of the family's 3401-position model. Lineage: Eukaryota; Fungi; Ascomycota; Eurotiomycetes; Onygenales; Nannizziopsiaceae. The record is from RNAcentral.